CCAUAACACCUCCAUCUGUCUGCUGCAUAUAUGGUACUCCACAGCCGAACGUGACCGACGGAGCACGGAAAUCAUUAACGAAAAACGUUCGAUACUGGAGCGAGGGAAGACUGAUCCUAAAUCGCUGAUGAUUGCAGAAUGAUGAGAACCUACAAGAGAGAGCCAGGUUCAAGAAAGUACACUGAUUAUAAUGCUGAGACCUUUGGAAGGUUGUUUGAAGGACAUACGAAGUGGAGUAAUAACAGAGUGCAAGUCAGUAUUACAAUUCGACGCCACACUGGGGUGACCUGUCUGCUGGUGAUGAGGAUGAUAUGAUGAUGAAGACAACACAACACCCAGUCCCCGAGUGGAGGAAAUCUUCAACCUGGCUGGGAAUCGAACCCAGGCCUGCUUGCAUGAGAGGCGGGCACGUUACCACCCAGCUACGCAGGAGGACUCACUAAUACUAAUAUCCUUGCCAUUCAGCCUUGCAGUGAUGUGGUGA
This is a long non-coding RNA of Schistocerca gregaria, 484 nucleotides long. RefSeq lists it as uncharacterized. The record is from RefSeq and is a predicted model, not a curated record. The transcript is spliced from 3 exons. NCBI's taxonomy places the organism in Eukaryota, Metazoa, Arthropoda, Insecta, Orthoptera, Acrididae.